UGUCUGGUAUAUAUACUUCAUCUGAUGG
Molecule: small RNA, 28 nt
Filed under: Bombyx mori (domestic silkworm)
Lineage: Eukaryota; Metazoa; Arthropoda; Insecta; Lepidoptera; Bombycidae
Description: ovarian small RNA-2303
Source: RNAcentral